This is a long non-coding RNA of Grus americana (Whooping crane), 530 nucleotides long. RefSeq lists it as uncharacterized. The record is from RefSeq and is a predicted model, not a curated record. The transcript is spliced from 3 exons. Lineage: Eukaryota; Metazoa; Chordata; Aves; Gruiformes; Gruidae.
CCCAUCAGCUCCCAGGAUGGGUUUCCCAGAGGGUAAAACUUGUGGCAGAACUCCUCUCAGUUUGCUUACAAAGUGCCAAUAAUUUUUUUUUUUCUUCUGCUCAACAAAUGAGAUGCUUUAGCCCGUGACAGUGGCAGAAAGCAUCCGGAGUCUGGUGAUGAUAAAGAAGUUCCCGUUAUCCCGAAGGCAGGAAAGCUGUGCUUCCAGAAGCCCAUCAGAUCAUGGAGCUUCCUGGUAUUGAGGAGGACUGUCUGUCUUCUCUGAAGCCCUACCAGCCGGCUAAAGGGUCUCCUCUCGGCUCUGCCAGGAAAACCUACUGACAGAUCCGCUGGGGUCCAGACCAGCAUAUCAAGUGCAAUUACAGUGGAGGCCAAAGAGACCAGAUCAUCCAUCCCUUUCCUUUGCCUGCCCACACUCUCUCUUCGGAGAAGUCUAUUUGUGCAAGGCAGAUGGAGAGAACCCGAACUCGGUUGGAAGCACAGAUCCUGCAGAGCUUGAUGAGGGACUUAAUUCCAAACAAAGGCAGCUGC